GCCUCUAUGGCACAGGGGUAAUGCGUGUCACUCGUACAGUUAUUGACUUGCGGUGUAAUGACAAGAUCCGCGGUUCGAUUCCGCGUGGAGGCA
This 93-nucleotide transfer RNA is filed under the name Xylaria cubensis. Its description in RNAcentral is "tRNA-Thr". It matches the Rfam family "tRNA". Rfam says of the family: Transfer RNA (tRNA) molecules are approximately 80 nucleotides in length. Their secondary structure includes four short double-helical elements and three loops (D, anti-codon, and T loops). Further hydrogen bonds mediate the characteristic L-shaped molecular structure. tRNAs have two regions of fundamental functional importance: the anti-codon, which is responsible for specific mRNA codon recognition, and the 3' end, to which the tRNAs corresponding amino acid is attached (by aminoacyl-tRNA synthetases). tRNAs cope with the degeneracy of the genetic code in two manners: having more than one tRNA (with a specific anti-codon) for a particular amino acid; and 'wobble' base-pairing, i.e. permitting non-standard base-pairing at the 3rd anti-codon position. Lineage: Eukaryota; Fungi; Ascomycota; Sordariomycetes; Xylariales; Xylariaceae. The record is from RNAcentral.